Molecule: long non-coding RNA, 1758 nt
Organism: Brassica napus (rape)
Lineage: Eukaryota; Viridiplantae; Streptophyta; Magnoliopsida; Brassicales; Brassicaceae
Exons: 2
Source: RefSeq, a predicted model, not a curated record
UACGCUUACAAGCACAUGUCAACCUAGGUGGGACUUCGGAUAUUCGGUUCGGGUUCGGAUAAGAUCUGAUCGGGUCCGGGUUUUUCGGAUAAAUGAAUUCUAUACCCAAUGGGUACUUAGUAAAUUUCGGUUCGGGUUUCGGAUCGGGUACUACCGGUUUCGGGUCGGUUCCGGGUACCCGUUUCUUAUGUGAAUUAUAUAAAUAUUUACAAAAUAAAAUAAUUAUAUACCAGUUUUUUAUUUAUUUAUUUUAUUUUUUUAAAAAAAGUUAAUAGAAAUUGUAUAUAUAUUAGUAAUAUGUAUUAAAUACAACGAAGUUGAACUAGUCUAGUGGUAUUGCAGUUGUUGCUUUGCCUAUCCAACCCGGGUUCAACCCUCGAAAGAUACAAAUCUAUGUUUUUUAAGCAUAAAAUUCGGGUUAAACGGGUACCCGUUCGGUUUCGGGUAAAAACCGGAACCGAACCGAUACCCAUGGAUAAUUAACACUAAUACCCAUCAGAUAAAUUGCCUAGAACCGAAACCGAACCGAACCGGUCCAUUUCGGGUCGGUUCCGGUUCGGGUAUUCGGUUAUGGAUAAAAAUCCCAGGCCUAUGUCAACCCACGAAAAAUAUAUAUUGUGGAUUCAUAUCAACAAAACAAAGUAAUUUUUUUAUUUUGGUGGUCUUAAUAUUCUUUUAUUUUACGGUUCAAUACAUAAUUCAAAGUUUGGCAAAAAAAACAUAAUUCAAAGUUUGGAAAAAAAAAACAUAAUUCAAAGCUAAAACAGAUGGAGCCGUAUCAUGGAGGUAUUGAUACGGAUCCAAUAAUACAUUAAAAAAUCUCUCUCGAACUCUUUUAAAAGUUUAGAAUAAUUAUCUAAAGUUGAAAACAUCUUUUCAUAUUAGAAAAAUCAAAGUUAUAGAAAAAUUAACAUUCUUUAAAUACUUAAUAUAUAUUUCUCUCUUUCCGUCUUUUCGCUAAUUACUCAUCAUUUAGCUCGUGUUUUAAAAAUACACUCAUAGAAAAAGCGACCUCUCGCCUUCAAUUUCUAAGCAAUAACCUCUUCACUCACUACACGUAUUUAAUACCUUCGACCCGUCAACAAAGUUUCAUCGGUCUCUUCCCAAAAAAAAAAAACACAAACUCCAAGUCUUCGAGAGAAGACUCAAGACAACUUACAAGUCUCUUCCGUACAUAGCCAUGUCUCUACUAUGUAAGAAACCGAAAUCUGGUCGACUCUCGAGAUUCAUGUCGGAGUUUCACCAAUCUCCAAAACGCGGUGGGAUCAUGGUCGUUGAAACUGGCUUUAAUUCCAACUUCUCUGAUCGAUCUCUUCUUCAAGAAUCGCGAUCGUCUAAAGAAGUAUUCCUCUAAAACGAAACGCAUCCAACGCUUGACUGUGUAAGACAGAUCAUGCAGACAUGAGUGGUGUAAUUGUAACGGCCGGCUUACAUAAAAUAUCCGGAGCCUCGAAAAGAUCCGAUUAGCGCCAAUGACCGUCCACCGAAGCUUAGCCGGAGAGCCCGCCGAAGCAUCCAAGAGGGCUAGUGAUCAUCCCAUAUAAAUCCCACCAAUGGCCACAAAUAUUUUAAUGAUUAAAGGACCUAUUACAUUUUCAAAAUUCUUAAACCUAAUUUAUUCAAGUUGUUAUCUACUUUUUGAGCAAAUUUUCUUAAAAUUUUAAGCAGCUUUUUAAAUCUAGGGGUUUAAAUUUACUGCUUAAGAUAUAUUACUAGAUCUUCGCCCUUUAUUUUCACUUUUAUAUGCAUAUAUAUUUA